Molecule: RNA transcript, 3610 nt
Organism: Zea mays
Lineage: Eukaryota; Viridiplantae; Streptophyta; Magnoliopsida; Poales; Poaceae
Gene name: TORTIFOLIA1-like protein 3
Exons: 8
Source: RefSeq, a predicted model, not a curated record
GUCCGAGACGACAUGGACGAAGGUGGGAGGCUCCCAACGCAUCCCCGCCGACCUCAACGCCGACGGUCCUUUCCUAACCCGCAGCCCCCGGCCACAGUCUCUCUCUUCCGGUCCAGUGGGGGCUGCUAGCUUCCAGUACCUAACUUGACUGAGUCUGGGAACUAGGCAACUAUACCACUGCCUUAGAGAUCUGUACAGCAGCACCAACAAAGCCUUUUAGUCCCAAGAAUAUUGGAGAUGUGCCUUCAACACUCUAGGGCUCGAUUGCCUCCAGAUAAGCAACUUGCUGCAGAAAAAAGUUUUGCCUUGUAUUGCAAGCCAGUUGAAUUGUACAAUAUUAUCCAGAGGCGAGCUAUUAAAAAUCCACCUUUUGUUCAAAGAUCCCUUCUAUAUAAGAUACAGGCAAGGAGAAAAAAGAGGCUCCAACCGCGCCUCCUCAAGUUACUUCGCAGCAAUGCCUUCAAGGCGAAGCCCGCGCUCAUCACCCUCAUCGGCGCCUGCGCGGCCAUGGGCGCCAAUGCCGAAGUCACCGCCUCCAUCACGUGCCUCCGCGAUGCAAUCGCUAGCGAUGACUGGGCAGCGAGGAAGGCCGCGGCGGAGGCGCUUGCUGCAUUGGCCCUAGAGCACACGGAUCUUCUCACGACCUACAAAUCCUCUUGCGUCACCUUCUUCGAGGCCAGAAGGUUUGACAAGGUCAAGGUUGUGCAAGAGUCGAUGAACCAGAUGAUUGAGGCGGGGAAGGAGAUCCCAGGUGCUGAAGAGGACGAGUGCUCCUCGCUCUGCCACCAGCGUCCCAGUCACAACGAAGAUCUUCUCUUACAGGGAGUGCAAGUGAUGGGCGAUAUCCAGCUGCUUCGCUGGGCUCAAACUCAGUUCCUUUAGCAACAAGGAAGAGCAUAUUAUCUGUAAGCAGAUCAUCUCUGUCUGACGUGUCUACCAGUGUAAUUUUCUGGACCUUCUCCAGGUAAUUUUCCUUUAGUGUGUUUAUUGUUACUGUAUAUUUUUACAGUUCUCUUGCGAGACGUAGUAGUAUAGGGCUUGUAGUCGUUACCUUUUCUUCCAGAAAUAAGUAAUCAUUAACUUCUCUGCUGAUUACUAAACACAAGAGAAAACAUUCUGUAACUGUAAGUCCACGUUGGAAGUGGAAGUAGUUAGUUUUUGGAUACUUGGUUGCAACUUGAGCUGUGGCUUCAAUGCUGGAGCAGAUUAUCUGGUGAAGCUGAGGUUGUUUUGAGAAAACGUUUGGUUGAACAGCUUCUGAUAUCUCUUAUAAAUAGCUGAGAGGGGCAAUGUCCAAGAUGCCCUUGGGUAUUGUAAAAUUUGAUUAUAUGGUUGCAGAUGUUCUUUUAUAUUUGAGUACUUUUCAAAUUUUAAAAUAAAAAUUAUCAACAACCAAUAACUUUGCCAAGAAACGAGCAGAUAAGGAAUUGGGGUUAUGGCGGAUUCUUUCUAAUUUCUUGUGAACUUUAGGGGUGAAAAUGUACUUUGUGUGGUGGGCCGUGGGCCUGUCCAUGUAGCGCGUGGAAGCUCCUUUUUCCAACUCCACCAUGCACCUGUCCCUCGUGAAAGCGCACUUUAUGGUUUAUGGAGCUCCAUGAAUGGAGCUGCUACAGCAGCACCUUCUUGGUACAAGGAGCUAAAAACAGCUCCAGGAGCUGUAAUGGAAUCCCCACCAAAGGGGGGCAUAUGUUGGUCGUAAGAAGAGGGUACUAUUGACUCCUGUUUGAGAAUACUGAAAAGGGACUGCUACUUAAAAUUUGAUGUUUCCAUCCAGCAUUAACUUUUCAGUAUCAGUGACACGAUGGGUCAGAUUUGAACAUGAUUAUUGCAAGCCAAGACAUUGUCAAUUACAUAUAGAAGCACAUGUCAUGUUGCUUUCCAUGUUCCCCGCAUAAUAUUACAUUGCUAAACUUAACUAUGCACUAAUGUUUUAGUAGUGACUUGUAGGUAUACAUAUUACCACCUUGUUGAGUUUGCUGCACCAGUCAUGUGCAAUUAACGUUCCGUAUCAUCACUUGUAAAAAAAAGGUUUAUGUUGGGGGCAUCUCCUCUGAUGUCUCUUAUGAUGAUCUCAAAAACUCUGCCAGUCUUUUGGACAAGUAGUGGAAGUGAUUACUCCUAGAUUUCUUUGUGCUAGCUUUUGUUUUUGCUUUCUUCUAAAUUCAGAGUUUUUUCUUUUCUUUUCUGUAGGUUGAACUCAUAGCUGAUCUUCAUGUUAUCCAUGCUAGCAAUGUAUUGCGUUUAUUCAUAUUUCUCUUUUAUAGUAGGGUGGGUAUAUGUGAUAAAGCAUGUAUUCGAUAAAGCAGAUCUUUCCAAGUAGGGAACUAAAUUGAAAAUUGUAUUUUAUGAACUUUAUGUUUAGUUUCAUGGAUCAGUUUGAGGCAUAGCUAAGUAUAAUUUAUAUGAUUACACUCACAUCCACUUGGUGUUUUUAAAAUGUUUGCAACGGUCCACUAUUGAGUUCGAAAUACUGAACCUCAAACUCCUUGUCAAGGUACACCUCGUGUAGCGAUUUUCUGACUUUCCUGAGUGAGGCGGCGCUAUUGGCUUUGGUAGGUCUUUCUCAUGAUCAUGUUGUUUGGGUCUGAAAAUGCUCUGAGUCGUAGUCUCGUAAUGUUAUAGUAACAAUAACAUCAUUUUUGUGAGGAUUUGUCUGAAAGGAGAACAACUCAACAUCAAUCUUGGUUAUCAACCAAGAGUCUAAACUCCUUUGUCAUGUGUUAUCGUUUCAAUCCUGAACUAUGCAUUGUUGUGGGUCUUGAAGAUCUGGUUACAAGCCUACAACUUAACUGAUAUAUAUCACAUGAUGAUGAUAAUAUGUAUAUUCAUGGUGACACCUUUGCUCUUUGAACAUGUUGUAGUCUAUUGUGUAGUUGCAAAAGAAUAUGUGAAUUACCAGUCAGUGGAGAUUGAGAGGGAUUCCCCGGCUAGAAGCUCAAGCGGAUUAGGAAGUGGCUCAUCUUCAUCCAGUGGUACAGUACAGUGGAGCAAAUGAGUAUCUAUCACCAUUAAUGCUGAGUUAUCGAUCAAGUAGCUCGUUAAUUCGUUAAAAUUCCUUGCAGAUUCUGACUCUGAUGUUACAGUUUAUUUUUUCAGUAACCAGAGGAUGACAAGCCUACUACAAGAGUUGGUCCUAAGUUAUAAAAUAAGCCUAACUUUUUUUACAGAGUACACAAAUGUCAGGUUUUCCUGUUUGGGCUAGCACCACAAAUGGAAACAAAAAAUUGGACUCAGCCCAUCGUGAAGAUAUGAAGGAAGAGCACUGUCCCAUUAUUCUGUUUUUCGAAGACCAUGUUUCUAGCAUGAACAUGCCAGCAUGGUGCCAUCAACAACUUCCCUGUUAGCUCACGGUACACCAUGCUCCAGCCUGUCCCCUGGUUAUCACUGUGGUGCUGAUUGUGUUCCCAAGAUGCACUGAAAUAGAGCAAGAUCAAAUGAGGAUGAAGUUACUGUGUAGAGAUUUUUGUUCCCCCUUUGUAGCAGCACCCAUGGAUUUUUAUUUGCACAGAAUUACUCUCUUUUACUGGUUCAUUCAAUAAUUCAAUUUGUUGCUUGGAAACCACUGUAUAAUAAAUACAAAUGCUAUGGUAUGAUUUUGUGAAUUCUGAUC